CUACGGGGUGCUCCAGUGGGGAAUAUUGCACAAUGGACGAAAGUCUGAUGCAGCAACGCCGCGUGGAGGAUGACACAUUUCGGUGCGUAAACUCCUUUUAUAUAGGAAGAUAAUGACGGUACUAUAUGAAUAAGCACCGGCUAACUCCGUGCCAGCAGCCGCGGUAAUACGGAGGGUGCAAGCGUUACUCGGAAUUACUGGGCGUAAAGAGCGUGUAGGCGGGUUUGUAAGUUGGAAGUGAAAUCCUAUGGCUCAACCAUAGAACUGCUUCCAAAACUGCUUACCUAGAAUAUGGGAGAGGUAGAUGGAAUUUCUGGUGUAGGGGUAAAAUCCGUAGAGAUCAGAAGGAAUACCGAUUGCGAAGGCGAUCUACUGGAACAUUAUUGACGCUGAGACGCGAAAGCGUGGGGAGCAAACAGGAUUAGAUACCCUAGUAGUC
Molecule: ribosomal RNA, 439 nt
Filed under: uncultured bacterium
Lineage: Bacteria
Description: partial 16S ribosomal RNA
Rfam family: Bacterial small subunit ribosomal RNA
Source: RNAcentral